UAUAGCACAAUGGAUAGCGCAUUGGACUUCUAAUCGAAAUGUCGUGGGUUCGAAACCUAUCUAA
This is a non-coding RNA of Trichonephila clavata, 64 nucleotides long. NCBI's taxonomy places the organism in Eukaryota, Metazoa, Arthropoda, Arachnida, Araneae, Nephilidae. The record is from the annotation of a GenBank genome assembly.